This 1336-nucleotide ribosomal RNA is filed under the name metagenome. RNAcentral's name for it is "SSU rRNA". It matches the Rfam family "Eukaryotic small subunit ribosomal RNA", at positions 558 to 1823 of the family's 1831-position model. The record is from RNAcentral.
AGUCUGGUGCCAGCAGCCGCGGUAAUACCAGCUCCACUAGCGUAUACUAAAGUUGCUGCUGUUAAAAAGCUCGUAGUUGGAUAUCUGUCUGCAAGGCGUGACCCUGGUGUGUUUACAGCAGCGUGUCAAGCGGCGUCUAGUUGGGUGGUUUAAUCGCCAUUCUUAACAAAGCGUCGUGCCUAGCAGACUUUCUUCAGGGGUUGUCGGUCUGUCGCGCGAGCGACGGGUCGACGCGUCCCCUGAUCUUUUACUUUGAGAAAAUUAAAGCGCUCAAAGCAGGCAAACGCCUGAAUGCAUUAGCAUGGAAUAAUAAAACAAGACCUUUGGCAUCCUCUCGUUAUUUCUUAUAAUGAGGGGGAGUUUUGUUGGUUUUGGGCCAGGGUAAUGAUUGAUAGGAACAAUUGGGGGUGCUAGUAUCGCCGGGCCAGAGGUAAAAUUCUUUGAUUCCGGUGAGACUAACUUUGGCGAAAGCAUUCACCAAGCGUGUUUUCUUUAAUCAAGAACUAAAGUUGGGGGAUCGAAGACGAUCAGAUACCGUCGUAGUCCCAACCAUAAACGAUGUCGACUAAGCGUUGUGCAAGUUUUAAAAACCUGUUCAGCACUUUACGAGAAAUCAAAGUCUUCGGACUCAGGGGGAAGUAUGCUCGCAAGGGUGAAACUUAAAGGAAUUGACGGAAGGGCACCACCAGAUGUGGAGCCUGCGGCUUAAUUUGACUCAACACGCGAAAACUUACCAGGUCCAGACAUAGUAAGGAUUGACAGAUUGAAGUUCUUUCUUGAUUCUAUGCAUGGUGGUGCAUGGCCGUUCUUAGUUGGUGGAGUGAUUUGUCUGGUUAAUUCCGAUAACGAACGAGACCUCAGCCAUCUAACUAGCUAAAGCUAACGCGUUGCCGUUUUUCCGUUUUGCGCCUAGCGCUUACAUACGUAAGUUUAGCUUCUUAGAGGGACAAUCUGCGCUCAGCAGAUGGAAGAUUGAGGCAAUAACAGGUCAGUGAUGCCCUUAGAUGCUCUGGGCUGCACGCGCGCUACAGUGAUGCAUUCAACGAGCUGACCUGGCUUGAAAAGGCCGGGUAAUCUUCAAAGUGCAUCCUAGUGGGAAUAGAUGAUUGCAAUUGUUCAUCUUGAACAUGGAAUAUCUAGUAAACGCAAGUCAUCAACUUGCAUUGAAUACGUCCCUGCCCUUUGUACACACCGCCCGUCGCUCCUACCGAUUGAAUAAUCCGGUGAAUUGAGUGGAAAGGGGGCUGCUUCGGCGAGUCCCCUUGAAGCUCUGUGAACCUUAUUAUUUAGAGGAAGGAAAAGUCGUAACAAGGUUUCCGUAGGUUACCUGCGGGAG